GAAAAACAAAAACCCCCCGUGAACCUUUACUAUAGCUUCACAUUGGUAUUGGGUAAAUGAUGUGUAGGAUAGCUGGGAGACUCUGAAGCUGUGUCGUCAGGCAUAGUGGAGUCGUUGGUGAAAUACCAGCCUUUAUUUAUCUGAUGCCUAACCCCGAAAGGGAGACAGUGUGUGGUGGGUAGUUUGACUGGGGCGGUCGCCUCCCAAAG
Molecule: ribosomal RNA, 209 nt
Filed under: Cyclophora tenuis
Lineage: Eukaryota; Bacillariophyta; Fragilariophyceae; Cyclophorales; Cyclophoraceae
Description: partial Bacterial large subunit ribosomal RNA
Rfam family: Bacterial large subunit ribosomal RNA
Source: RNAcentral